UUGAUUUGUUACUUUCGCAUCGUUCGGUGCAUUCUGGGGGAUGUUUUGGCUUUUGGUGGCUUACUUGGCCUUUUGGCUUGGUUUGUUGCUAUUGGUCGGGCGGCUCUUGGGAAUGUCGACCGUGGAGGUGCAUGAGUGGUGUUUGGUUUUUUACGUGUGGAUGGCUGUUUGCUUGCGCAACAACGUUCAUGCUGCAUACCUCUUCAGUUUUGUGGCAAGGCUUGGUUUGGCUUGUGCAUAUUGUGGGUUUCCUGUGUUGCAUACCUAGUUGAAGGAAAAGUGUGGGUUUUACGAUUUUCAUUUUCGUCUCGUGUCGUUCUUUCGGCAUGGGAUGAGCAAUGAAGCGAUCUUUAUGAUCCAUCGUGCUGUUGUGUUUGCAACAAUGAUGUGGCCUAUGAAGCAUCGUUUGGUCUCUUGUAUACGGAAGCCCAUUUGGGCUUGGGUCUUUAUAAGAUCUUCGUUCUGCCCUUGUUAAGUGUUCUCGCUUCUCCUAGACGAUUGCCUGCCAUGUUACGGCUUGUCCU
This 524-nucleotide unclassified non-coding RNA is filed under the name Lamyropsis sinuata. RNAcentral describes it as "partial external transcribed spacer". Lineage: Eukaryota; Viridiplantae; Streptophyta; Magnoliopsida; Asterales; Asteraceae. The record is from RNAcentral.